AAAUGAAUUGACGGGGACCCGCACAAGCGGUGGAGCAUGUUCUUUAAUACGACGCAACGCGUAGAACCUUACCAAGACUUGACAUGUAACUGCGCGUCCUAUGAAAGUAGGACUUUCUUCGAGAGAGUUACACAGGUGUUGCAUGGCUGUCGUCAGCUCGUGUCGUGAGAUGUUGGGUUAAGUCCCGCAACGAGCGCAACCCUUGUUAUUAGUUGCCAGCGAGUAAAGUUGGGCACUCUAAUGAGACUGCCGGUGAUAAACCGGAGGAAGGUGGGGAUGACGUCAAGUCAGUACGGCCCUUACGUCUUGGGCUAGAAACGUGCUACAAUGGCGAUGACAAAGGGAAGCGAAGCCGCGAGGUGGAGCCAAACUCAAAAAUAUCGUCUCAGUUCGGAUUGGAGUCUGCAAUUCGACUCCAUGAAGCCGGAAUCGCUAGUAAUGGCGUAUCAGCUACGACGCCGUGAAUACGUUCCCGGGUCUUGUACACACCGCCCGU
Molecule: ribosomal RNA, 496 nt
Filed under: uncultured bacterium
Lineage: Bacteria
Description: bacterial SSU rRNA
Rfam family: Bacterial small subunit ribosomal RNA
Source: RNAcentral